UGGGCGAAAGCCUGACGCAGCGACGCCGCGUGGGGGAUGAAGCUUCUCGGAGUGUAAACCCCUUUCGACCCGGACGAAUGACCCGCAAGGGUUUGACGGUACGGGUAUAAGAAGCCCCGGCUAACUACGUGCCAGCAGCCGCGGUAAUACGUAGGGGGCCAGCGUUGCUCGGAAUUACUGGGCGUAAAGGGUUCGUAGGUGGUGCGGCAAGUUGGGAGUGAAAUCUCUGGGCUUAACUCAGAGGCUGCUUUCAAAACUGCCGUGCUCGAGUGCGGGAGAGGCCAGUGGAAUUGCAGGUGUAGCGGUGAAAUGCGUAGAUAUCUGCAGGAACACCCGUGGCGAAGGCGGCUGGCUGGACCGCAACUGACACUGAGGAACGAAAGCUAGGGGAGCAAACAGGAUUAGAUACCCUGGUAGUCCUAGCCCUAAACCAUCAGGACUUGGGGUGGCUCGCGUAGGCGAGUCGUCCCGUAGCUAACGCGUUAAGUCCUGCGCCUGGGGAGUAC
Molecule: ribosomal RNA, 506 nt
Filed under: uncultured bacterium
Lineage: Bacteria
Description: bacterial SSU rRNA
Rfam family: Bacterial small subunit ribosomal RNA
Source: RNAcentral